RNAcentral lists this microRNA precursor (98 nucleotides) under Equus caballus (horse). RNAcentral describes it as "mir-9058 microRNA precursor family". It matches the Rfam family "mir-9058 microRNA precursor family". The record is from Rfam by way of RNAcentral. Lineage: Eukaryota; Metazoa; Chordata; Mammalia; Perissodactyla; Equidae.
GUGGUUGCCAGGCGGGGACUGUCUACUAGUGCUGUGCAGAGGCUUUCACUGAAGCUGCCUGUGAGACUGUAGAGUUUCCCCCUGGGCCACGGAGCUAG